UCCGCUUAUGAAUUCCAAAACAUUGCAGAGCUUGACUGAUGCAAAUGCAUCUUUAAAAGUAAUGGCAAGCCCUCAGAAAAUGCAACAGUAUAUGGACCGGCAUAGGAUUGGACCACUUUUUGAGAGCCUUAUGAAUAAAGUUAUCCAUGAUCAGCCAGAUGACCCACUCAUAUAUCUGAUAAAAGUUCUGCAUAAGAAGGCAGGCUUGGAGGUCCCAAGAGAUCUCAAGGCUCAUGGAGUCAGAAAGAGUUCCCCAGAAAGAAUCGUUAGAAGUAAGAGUCCAGAGAUGAACAAGAAAACUACUCAGGCAUGGGGAUCUACAACACUAGGUGAUAUGGAACGUUCCUAUGACAAGCCUUGGCUAUCAAGCAGUAAGAAAGUUAAACCCAAGUCUGAAGAUUUCUCCACAUCUAAACAAGUGUAUACCAGCCCAUUUCCCUUGGUCAGUUCUGCUGUCCACAAAAGAAGCAAUAUACCCCAUGGUCCCUCUCACAGGUACCCCAAAAGUCCAUUUUCCCCUGACCUAGAUAAACUCCAAGAAGUUUUACAUAUUGAAAAGAAAUCAAUCACCCCAGGAAGAAAGCAGCCCAAACAACCAUGGAACCCUGACAACAAGGUGGGGAAGACAAGUUUUGAUGAUUUAUUUGAAGAUUAUCCAGAGGAGACAAAGACGGUGACCAAGAAAAGAGAGCCGACAACCGACACAAGGCAGACCUGGGCCACGGAUGAGGAAGCCUUUAAGAGUGGUGCGUAUAGAGGACCUACAACUUGCUCUGACAAGGAUGAUCCUUUGGCAGGGGAGCUAAUGAAUAAUAAAACAGAUAUCAGGGAUCAAACAGACGAAAAUAUUGUCAGUUCUGGUCAUGUAAAAGGAAGAAGGCUGGAUGCUAAGAAACACAGAAAAGAGCUUGAGAAAUUAAUACAGAAAUCGGAGCAGAAAUCAGGCGACUCGGGAUAUGAUGAGGGUUUGGAAGAAGAAGAUGAGGCCAUUGAGCUGCUAGAGGAUGCCAAUGACUUGAUGAAUGAAGGCGUAACUAAAAUCCCGAAAUCUGGAUAUAAGCUUAGUCGACUUUUACAGCAACGACAACAGGAUGCAAACAUCAAGCUUAACAUCAAGAUUGCUGACGCAUAUGAGGGUACACAACCAGCAGUAAGCUACACAGGAGAUGGAAUCUACAAAUCCCCAAAUGUUGACGAUUUGUUUGACACCGAUGAAGAGAGACCUGCUACUGGUAUGUCAGGAUUUCGAUCUUCACCUGGAGAUAGUGAUGAAGAAUUUGAGAGUGUGUCUCAAGUUACAGGUCCAAGAAGACCAGUGUGGAAUGCUGGAGAAGACUCAGAUGGUGAUUAUUCCUAUCUUCGAAAAUCCAAGAUGUCACCAGAAUUGUCUCUUUCAAGGAAGCAGAACUCUUCAAUGUCUGGGAGGAACUUGAACCAGACAGUGCCAGUGAGAUUUGAAUCAUCACCUGAGCAGUCAUUAGACAUUUUUCAUAAAAGUGCCCCAAAUAAAACUUGGACCCCUUCUGGCCAAACCAUGCAAUCAGUGGAAUCUGUCAGAUCUGGUAGUGGAGGAUGGCAAAUCCCACGUUAUGACUCAGAAACAGAUUUUUCAGAGUUUGGAGGUACAUGCUUACCAACCAAGUAAAAUUAAACAAUUCUAACAAACCUAGUGAGAUGGAAAGACUAAAGGCAUUUAGUACCAGGUUAUUAACUCACCUUAGUGAGCUAAUCUGAUGAAAAACUUCUUACAUAUUUUUCUCUGAAACAAUCGAACCCCUGGGGCUCCCCAAAUUGUUUUGAAGUUUUACUGAGGAAUAUCAUAUCAGAAAUUUCUCAAAGGAUAUUCUUCUCAAGAAUGUCAGGAUUACAGUAUGUCAAAUUAAUAUACAAGCAUCAUCAGGUAGUAUAUAGAUUCAAGUUUGGUCAUGCAUGAACCCAGGGUCGGGUCGCAAUAGGGGUUCAAAGGUUUGUAUAAGAAUAUAUAAAAAGAACUUCUUUUAAAAUCUUCUUCUCAAGAACCAUUUGCAAUAGAGAUUAAAAUUUUUCACACAAAGUUUGAUCUUUACAUUUUCAAAUAUUAAUAAGCUUUGAUGGUACUGUUGCCAUAGUAAGCUAGUGUACCUUAUAUUCCCAUAAUGCAUUAAAUCCAUUAAAAAUAUUUAUUGUGUUUCGAAAAAAAAUAUAUUGACAAAUUGUUCAUAUAAUCAGAGAAAUUUGUCAUUAACAAUAGUUUUUAUGUACUAGUAAAUUUUCAAGUGUUUAUAUUGAUUAUAUUUUUGUGUAAACCACAAAAUGUGAAAAGAUUUUGAAAAAUUAUUGUAAGGGUAUCCAUUCCCCAUAGUCUGUAUGAAUUUCAGAGAGAAAUUAUACCUAAUCAUAGUCAUUUUUAAAAUCAUAAUUGUAGUGUAAGUGGCAUAAUUGAUUGGGUUUUUUUUUUCUUUGCAUACCGUCAACAAUUUUUCACUCAUAUUGAGACAUCACCAGCUGUAUGUGAAGUGCCACAAAUUUAGACCUAUGCUUAGCACUCAGGGCCAUAGCAGUGAGGAUUCUUUUUUGUGCCAAUGCCUGUCGCGACAUGGGACCUCCAUUUUUAAGAUCAGUCAGCUAGAAACCGUCCACCUAGAGCCUACUAGCUGUCAUGGAAAUGCAACCAUAACAUUUCAGAAAUGUGUAUCUACCAAAGUUUAGACUCUACAUUUCAUCAUUCAUCUUGUCUGUGAUUUUUCUGUGUAAUGUGUAAUACAUGUAAUAUAUAUAUAUAUAUAUAUAUAUAUAUAUAUAUAUAUAUAGUGUAGGUACUGGUUCUGUUUGAGCUGCGAGGGUUGCUAUAACUGUGUAGUUAGUUACUAGUUCUAUACUUAUCUUAUUGACCUAAAUAUUUAGACAAGACCAUUGUAAUGAAGUACUUUUAACCUCUCAAAUUCUGUACGAUGAUCUCUUCUUCAUAUUUUAAGUCCAGAAAGGUCAUUAUGUAAGUUUUCCCUUUACUCAUAUGAAAUGUACAUGUAUAUCAAACUUUUUAUUAUGGGCCGGCUACUCUAUGAUAUAAGUUAGGAGAUUUCUGCGGGACAUGUGUCUGUUACCGCGGAAAUGUUCUAAUAAAGAAUGACGUCUUUUAUAUAUUUAUUUACUGUUUGACAAGGGUUUAUAUAUAUAUCAUUUUAUGACCAUGAAAAAAAAAAUUCAUGGUAUAAUGUGUAAAACUUUCGACUAUAAUUUUUAAAUGUCAUGACCUUUGCACUAUACACUUCGCAUAGCGAGGCAUUCUAUAAUUAGAAGACAGAAAAUCAAAUGUGUUUGACAAGCGAUGUAUGCUAGAGACGCCAUACCAUCAAGCUGUGUGUACACAGAUUGCACGAGAAUUGGACAGUCACAUGUCAAACUGGAGCAUUACAUUGAGAAUCGUAAAAUUUUGCCAUUAAUUUCGUCAAAUUGUAGGGUUAGGGAAAAGGGGGAGGGGGUAUAUCCGCAUUUAAUGUUUAUUUCUGUCCAAGUUGGAAUGCACAUUGACUGAGCUGUAUAAUGAGGUCUAUAUUGAGUCCACAUUGACUGAGCUGUAUAAUGAGCUCUAUAUUGAGUCCACAUUGAUUGAGCUGUAUAAUGAGGUCUAUAUUGAGUCCACAUUGACUGAGCUGUAUAAUGAGGUCUAUAUUGAGUCCACAUUGAUUGAGCUGUAUAAUGAGCUCUAUAUCGAGUCCACAUUCACUGAGCUGUAUAGUGAGACUUCUUAUCUCGCAAUAUUCAAAAAUGAAAUCAUAGCUCUAAAUCCAAAAAAAAAUUGGGGUAAGCGGACAGGGGUUGAUCCUUUAUUUCAAUUCUUCGGUUAAUUUGAUUAUAUUUCCACUACAAUUCACUACUACUACAUGUAUUUCAAAAAUAUCUCACGAGCCAGCCUAUAGAUCGAAUUUUUAAAAUGGCCAAUUUUGCCCAUAAUAAUAGCGGGAAAAGAACGAUGUCGAAAACGUGUGGGGAUAAUCCCCCCUAAUGCUGCGCAACUCAAUGCAAGUUGAGCUGUUUAAUGUAUUUUUUAAAAAGUUGAUUUAAAUUAAAAAUUAUUUUAAAAAUAUUGAAUUGCACGUAAAAAAACAAAAACCAACCCAGAUUUCAACGGAAAGAUUACAUUAGAUACGGAUUCAAUGUACAUGUGAUUAACGUUUUCCAGGCGAGGAUCUAGAAAAUUUUCAGGGUUUUCUGAAAAUAUUUAGUUCUUACACUUCCUAAAAAUGUUCCGGCCCAUGCAAGUGGUGCUUGCACCAAUGUUUCUCGUAUCUUUAUUGUGUGACGACAUGAAUAUACAUGUAUAAAUUAAAAUUAUGAUGUAGUGAU
RNA transcript from Ostrea edulis (European flat oyster), 4326 nucleotides. RefSeq lists it as uncharacterized. NCBI's taxonomy places the organism in Eukaryota, Metazoa, Mollusca, Bivalvia, Ostreida, Ostreidae. The transcript is spliced from 19 exons. The record is from RefSeq and is a predicted model, not a curated record.